Molecule: ribosomal RNA, 919 nt
Filed under: Bacillus subtilis
Lineage: Bacteria; Bacillati; Bacillota; Bacilli; Caryophanales; Bacillaceae
Description: bacterial SSU rRNA
Rfam family: Bacterial small subunit ribosomal RNA
Source: RNAcentral
CUAGUACCUGCAGUCGAGCGGACAGAUGGGAGCUUGCUGCCUGAUGUUAGCGGCGGACGGGUGAGUAACACGUGGGUAACCUGCCUGUAAGACUGGGAUAACUCCGGGAAACCGGGGCUAAUACCGGAUGGUUGUUUGAACCGCAUGGUUCAGACAUAAAAGGUGGCUUCGGCUACCACUUACAGAUGGACCCGCGGCGCAUUAGCUAGUUGGUGAGGUAACGGCUCACCAAGGCGACGAUGCGUAGCCGACCUGAGAGGGUGAUCGGCCACACUGGGACUGAGACACGGCCCAGACUCCUACGGGAGGCAGCAGUAGGGAAUCUUCCGCAAUGGACGAAAGUCUGACGGAGCAACGCCGCGUGAGUGAUGAAGGUUUUCGGAUCGUAAAGCUCUGUUGUUAGGGAAGAACAAGUGCCGUUCAAAUAGGGCGGCACCUUGACGGUACCUAACCAGAAAGCCACGGCUAACUACGUGCCAGCAGCCGCGGUAAUACGUAGGUGGCAAGCGUUGUCCGGAAUUAUUGGGCGUAAAGGGCUCGCAGGCGGUUUCUUAAGUCUGAUGUGAAAGCCCCCGGCUCAACCGGGGAGGGUCAUUGGAAACUGGGGAACUUGAGUGCAGAAGAGGAGAGUGGAAUUCCACGUGUAGCGGUGAAAUGCGUAGAGAUGUGGAGGAACACCAGUGGCGAAGGCGACUCUCUGGUCUGUAACUGACGCUGAGGAGCGAAAGCGUGGGGAGCGAACAGGAUUAGAUACCCUGGUAGUCCACGCCGUAAACGAUGAGUGCUAAGUGUUAGGGGGUUUCCGCCCCUUAGUGCUGCAGCUAACGCAUUAAGCACUCCGCCUGGGGGAGUACGGUCGCAGGACUGAAAGUCAAAGGAAAUUGACGGGGGCCCCGCACAAAGCGGGUGGACCAUGUGG